GGGUGUGUCUCAGUAGAAGAUAUUUUGCUUUGAAUGCAGAGGGUCCCAGGUUCAAUCUCUGGCAUUUCCA
Molecule: transfer RNA, 70 nt
Filed under: Sphaerodactylus townsendi
Lineage: Eukaryota; Metazoa; Chordata; Lepidosauria; Squamata; Sphaerodactylidae
Description: tRNA-Ser
Source: RNAcentral